This 389-nucleotide ribosomal RNA is filed under the name uncultured Glomeromycotina. RNAcentral describes it as "SSU rRNA". It matches the Rfam family "Eukaryotic small subunit ribosomal RNA", at positions 704 to 1092 of the family's 1831-position model. Lineage: Eukaryota; Fungi; Glomeromycota. The record is from RNAcentral.
UGACGAACCAUGAUGUCAUUUAUUUGGUGUUGUGGGGAAUCAGGACUGUUACUUUGAAAAAUUAGAGCGUUUAAAGCAGGCUCACGCUUGAAUACAUUAGCAUGGAAUAAUGAAAUAGGACGAUUGAUUCUAUUUUGUUGGUUUCUAGGAUCGACGUAAUGAUUAAUAGGGAUAGUUGGGGGCAUUAGUAUUCAAUUGUCAGAGGUGAAAUUCUUGGAUUUAUUGAAGACUAACUACUGCGAAAGCAUUUGCCAAGGAUGUUUUCAUUAAUCAAGAACGAAAGUUAGGGGAUCGAAGACGAUCAGAUACCGUCGUAGUCUUAACCAUAAACUAUGCCGACUAGGGAUCGGAUGAUGUUAAUUUUUUAAUGACUCAUUCGGCGCCUUACG